This 146-nucleotide ribosomal RNA is filed under the name uncultured bacterium. RNAcentral describes it as "partial 16S ribosomal RNA". It matches the Rfam family "Bacterial small subunit ribosomal RNA", at positions 371 to 509 of the family's 1533-position model. The record is from RNAcentral.
AGGNGGGACCACNGACGAGCAAUGCCGCGUGAGCGAAGAAGGUCUUCGGAUUGUAAAGCUCUGUUGCCGGGGAAAAAAGGAAGGAAAGAGGAAAUGCUUUUUCUUUGGAUGGUACCCGGCCAGAAAGUCACGGCUAACUACGUGCC